Epinephelus moara (kelp grouper) is the source of this 608-nucleotide long non-coding RNA. RefSeq lists it as uncharacterized. The record is from RefSeq and is a predicted model, not a curated record. The transcript is spliced from 3 exons. Lineage: Eukaryota; Metazoa; Chordata; Actinopteri; Perciformes; Serranidae.
GUCGAUGGAUCUUAUAAAGACAACAUGGCGCAGACUGCACCGGUAGUCAGAGCGUGAAGCUGUCCGAGGGCUGAAGAUGUUACGGCCGAACAAAGUGAAGUUGUUCGGGUCACACUGAACUGCUGUGGUCAUGGUGAGCUGUGUUAAUGACCUGCUAACGUUAGCAGCUGUGGCUAACGGCUAACGUUAGCAACGUUAGCAGCUGUGGCUAACAGGUAACGUUAGCAGCUGUGGCUAAUGGCUAACGGCUAACGUUAACGUUUGUCACUGCGGACUGAGCACCGAACUACCGAGCACCGAACUACCGGGCCCGACGGAGCCGUUAACGGACCGCCCCUGUGACGUCCCCAGGAUGGAGCUGUGAUGUCGUCCGUGAGGCUCCAAUGUGGCGAAACAUGUGGAAGCAGCUGCAGCGCCACCUCCUGGACAACCUGAGUACUGCACCCAGAACACCACGGUCGCCUCUUCCUGUUCAGAGCCUCAGAGAAACCAGCAGGUGUUUGACUGUCACAGACACGUCAGCGCUCUUUGCUCCAACGUUUGACUGAAGGAAAAAAACAACUUCUUCAAUUCUAACAUUGUUUUAAUAAAAAGAAAACGUUGAUUCA